Molecule: small RNA, 218 nt
Filed under: Verticillium longisporum
Lineage: Eukaryota; Fungi; Ascomycota; Sordariomycetes; Glomerellales; Plectosphaerellaceae
Description: Verticillium dahliae var. longisporum 5' ureB small RNA
Rfam family: 5' ureB small RNA
Source: Rfam by way of RNAcentral
CUUCCGAUGUCUGCUGCGGGCAGAUGAAGUGAAUGUGCGUAUCGAUACCGCCUGCUGUGAUGAUCUUGUUCUCUCCAGCGACGACAUCUGUGCAGCUGCCGACCACCAUGUUCGGCGUCACGCCGUCCAUGACAUCUGGGUUGCCCGCCUUGCCAAUACCCACGAUNCGGUCCAGGCAGGAACGGGAUUUCAGGUAGGUCCUGCCAUCCCGCCUCCUG